This 73-nucleotide transfer RNA is filed under the name Sphaerodactylus townsendi. Its description in RNAcentral is "tRNA-Ala". It matches the Rfam family "tRNA". From Rfam's summary of the family: Transfer RNA (tRNA) molecules are approximately 80 nucleotides in length. Their secondary structure includes four short double-helical elements and three loops (D, anti-codon, and T loops). Lineage: Eukaryota; Metazoa; Chordata; Lepidosauria; Squamata; Sphaerodactylidae. The record is from RNAcentral.
GGGGGCUGUGGCUCAGUGGUAGAACAUCUGCUCUGCGGGCAGAACGUUCCUGGUUCAGUCCCUGGCAUUUCCA